This 445-nucleotide ribosomal RNA is filed under the name Acanthamoeba sp. Its description in RNAcentral is "SSU rRNA". The stretch from base 1 to 375 matches the Rfam family "Eukaryotic small subunit ribosomal RNA", at positions 762 to 1115 of the family's 1831-position model. The record is from RNAcentral. Lineage: Eukaryota; Discosea; Longamoebia; Acanthamoebidae.
AAAAUUAGAGUGUUCAAAGCAGGCAGAUCCAAUUUUCUGCCACCGAAUACAUUAGCAUGGGAUAAUGGAAUAGGACCCUGUCCUCCUAUUUUCAGUUGGUUUUGGCAGCGCGAGGACUAGGGUAAUGAUUAAUAGGGAUAGUUGGGGGCAUUAAUAUUUAAUUGUCAGAGGUGAAAUUCUUGGAUUUAUGAAAGAUUAACUUCUGCGAAAGCAUCUGCCAAGGAUGUUUUCAUUAAUCAAGAACGAAAGUUAGGGGAUCGAAGACGAUCAGAUACCGUCGUAGUCUUAACCAUAAACGAUGCCGACCAGCGAUUAGGAGACGUUGAAUACAAAACACCACCAUCGGCGCGGUCGUCCUUGGCGUGUCUCGGCUUCACGGCCGGGGCGCGCGAGGGCGGUUUAGCCCGGUGGCACCGGUGAAUGACUCCCCUAGCACAUUGUGAGA